This 309-nucleotide ribosomal RNA is filed under the name uncultured eukaryote. RNAcentral describes it as "partial 18S ribosomal RNA". It matches the Rfam family "Eukaryotic small subunit ribosomal RNA", at positions 1470 to 1796 of the family's 1831-position model. The record is from RNAcentral.
CCCUUAGAUGUUCUGGGCGGCCCGCGCACUACAUUGGCACUAGCAAAGAGAUCCUAGAUUGAAUUCUUUGGGGUAUUCUUCUAAAUGGUGUCGUGACUGGGAUAAAUCCUUGUAAUUAUUGGUUUUGAACGAGGAAUUCCUUGUAAUCGCGGUUUAUCAGCUCGCCUUGAAUGCGUCCCUGCCCUUUGUACACACCGCCCGUCGCUCCUACCGAUGGAUCGUCCGGUGAAGCUCACGGAGUGACUGUUCACGCAACGGUUUACGAAGUGAAAUGGACCUCACGAUUUAGAGGAAGGAGAAGUCGUAACA